UGGCUUUAGAUGACUGGCCAACUUUAUUUUAUUUUAUGUUGACUGGAAAAAGCAUAGUUGCCUUUCUUAACUACAAAGCCGACCAAGUCGAGGUCUCGUCAAUUUAGUCAAAUAUGGGAGACAUCAUAUUCUCCCCCGACGGAUCGUUUCCCUGCGUUAUUCAAAGAACCCCGAGUUUGAGUGAGGAGGCUGCGAAGGAUAGGUAAUUCUUGUAAGGCUAGUAACUAUCGAUUGUGCAAGUAAAUAUGAAAUCUGUAUUCCCUUCCGAUUGCGAAUCCAGAAAUUUGAGAGCAGAUAGACCGGGCCGACCGCCAAAUUUCCUUCUUUGGAUUCUUGCGAUAAUGGCCCUGUGAACGGGUCUGUAUUCUAAGCCUCAGCAAUGCUCAACUUACAGUGGAAUAUGUUGUGGCCAAUUGACGUCUGCAUCAUCCGGCAAGCUCUUUUCCCAGCUUCCGAAUAGAGUUGUGGUCUGUUAGCAGCAAGUUUAUUGCAACUUGAUACACCACCACAGGCGUUGUGGCUUCAAGUUUUUAUUAUAGAAUAGCAGUACCA
RNAcentral lists this small RNA (552 nucleotides) under Histoplasma ohiense. Its description in RNAcentral is "hypothetical lncRNA". The record is from RNAcentral. Lineage: Eukaryota; Fungi; Ascomycota; Eurotiomycetes; Onygenales; Ajellomycetaceae.